This is a non-coding RNA of Podarcis lilfordi (Lilford's wall lizard), 70 nucleotides long. The record is from the annotation of a GenBank genome assembly. Lineage: Eukaryota; Metazoa; Chordata; Lepidosauria; Squamata; Lacertidae.
GGCUAUAGCUUAGUGGUAGAGUAUAUUCUUGGCAUGCAAAAGGUUCUCGGUUCAAGUCCUCGGAUCUCCA